GAACAAAAAAGGAGACCGUUCUCCUCUUGGGUGAGAGAUCUAGAACUAUUUUAUUUUUUUGGGUAGAGAAAAAACCAAAGAGAAGAGAGUCUUCAUCUAAAUUUUCUCCACCAUCCAGAUCCUUCUCUGAUCCAUCUUCGACAUCAAAAAGGUUCAAGGUGAUCGAAGAAGGAGAUCAACUUAGAUCUACCAUUAGAAGCCG
Molecule: long non-coding RNA, 202 nt
Filed under: Elaeis guineensis (African oil palm)
Lineage: Eukaryota; Viridiplantae; Streptophyta; Magnoliopsida; Arecales; Arecaceae
Description: long non-coding RNA (EGUI_LNC058834)
Source: RNAcentral